Molecule: ribosomal RNA, 720 nt
Filed under: fungal endophyte sp. O20-3161
Lineage: Eukaryota; Fungi
Description: eukaryotic LSU rRNA
Rfam family: 5.8S ribosomal RNA (bases 378-531)
Source: RNAcentral
CGCGGUCCAGGUUUGCGGGGGGGGAGGGUAGGAAGGUUUGAACUCCACGGGACCAAAAUUAAAAAUAAGGUCGGAUAGAGCAGGUAUUCCUCCCCCCUUGCGGGUCCAAAAAAAAGAACGUUUAAAAUUACCUUGAAGGCUUGGAAGUAAAAAAUCGUAACAAGGUUUCCGUAGGUGAACCUGCGGAAGGAUCAUUACCGAGUUGAUUCGGGCUCCGGCCCGAUCCUCCCACCCUUUGUGUACCUACCUCUGUUGCUUUGGCGGGCCGCGGUCCUCCGCGGCCGCCCCCCUCCCCGGGGGGGUGGCCAGCGCCCGCCAGAGGACCAUCAAACUCCAGUCAGUAAACGAUGCAGUCUGAAAAACAUUUAAUAAACUAAAACUUUCAACAACGGAUCUCUUGGUUCUGGCAUCGAUGAAGAACGCAGCGAAAUGCGAUAAGUAAUGUGAAUUGCAGAAUUCAGUGAAUCAUCGAAUCUUUGAACGCACAUUGCGCCCUUUGGUAUUCCGAAGGGCAUGCCUGUUCGAGCGUCAUUACAACCCUCAAGCUCUGCUUGGUAUUGGGCACCGUCCUUUGCGGGCGCGCCUCAAAGACCUCGGCGGUGGCGUCUUGCCUCAAGCGUAGUAGAACAUACAUCUCGCUUCGGAGCGCAGGGCGUCGCCCGCCGGACGAACCUUCUGAACUUUUCUCAAGGUGACCUCGGAUGCAGGUCAGUGCCCUCU